Molecule: ribosomal RNA, 510 nt
Filed under: uncultured bacterium
Lineage: Bacteria
Description: bacterial SSU rRNA
Rfam family: Bacterial small subunit ribosomal RNA
Source: RNAcentral
AGAGUUUGAUCCUGGCUCAGAAUGAACGCUGGCGGCGUGUUUUACACAUGCAAGUCGAGCGAGGCGGGGAGCAAUCCCCAGUCGAGCGGCGAACGGGUGAGUAACGCGUGGAUGACCUGCCCUUUAGUGGGGAAUAACCCGGGGAAACUCGGGCUAAUACCGCAUAAGACCGAGAGGUGAAAGCGGGGUCGCAAGAUCUCGUGCUGAAGGAGGGGUCCGCGUUCGAUUAGCUAGUUGGUAGGGUAAUGGCCUACCAAGGCGACGAUCGAUAGCCGGCCUGAGAGGGUGAUCGGCCACACUGGAACUGAGACACGGUCCAGACUCCCUACGGGAGGCAGCAGUGGGGGAAUUUUGCGCAAUGGGCUAACGCCUGACGCAGCAACGCCGCGUGGAGGGAUGAAGGUCUUUGGAUUGUAAACUCCUGUCAGCAGGGAAAAAGCGACCUGACCUAAUACGUCAGGGGAGUUGAUUGUACCUGCAGAGGAAGCCCCGGCUAACUCUGUGCCAGCA